This 140-nucleotide microRNA precursor is filed under the name Gossypium arboreum. RNAcentral's name for it is "MIR7502 microRNA precursor family". It matches the Rfam family "MIR7502 microRNA precursor family". The record is from Rfam by way of RNAcentral. Lineage: Eukaryota; Viridiplantae; Streptophyta; Magnoliopsida; Malvales; Malvaceae.
UAUUAAAAAAAUCAUCUAUUUUUACUAUUAAAAAAUGACUUGGUUGAUAGAAUGACUAAGAAGUUACACGUGGUACGUAUAUCUCAUUUGGACGUAUAAUGACUAAUUUUUAAUAGUAGAAAUGAAUAAAAUUUUUAAAA